This 1721-nucleotide long non-coding RNA is filed under the name Homo sapiens (human). Its description in RNAcentral is "HSALNT0297824". Lineage: Eukaryota; Metazoa; Chordata; Mammalia; Primates; Hominidae. The record is from RNAcentral.
CCUUUGGAUGUUCACAGAUGAGGGAAGGAAUCAUAAUUGGCUAACAAGAGGAGAUACAUUUGACUAUGUUAAGAGAACUGGAGGACCUCCACCAAGAUCUUGUGAUUGACAUCAUGUCUGGAUGCAGCUGCUUAUAAUCCACAGCCUCUGAAUAUAAAGACAGGUUAUGUCCCCGAAACACAAAAGAUACAAUGAUGAAGAGGAAUAAAACGACUACAACAAACACUUCCACUCAAAAAAGGGACAUAACAGAAGGGCCUUCAGAUAAGGUUCAAAUUGUCCAACAUGGUCUACAAAGCUCUCUACUGUUCCAGGAGCACUCAAGGGGGAAGGACAGGAAAUCCAGGUGCUGAUCAGAAACCCACAAAUAUCUGCCAGGCUGGCAACAGACCCUAAAGAGAGAGAUUAACAAAAAACAGUUGAGGAGCAAGCUAAAUUCCUACAGGCAAUAGUGGGACCAGAGCUCAUAGGCUGGCACCAAUAGUACAGUUUGGUCCCAAGGAGAAGCAGCAAGGCCAUGCAGGGAAUCACAUAAACAGGUCAGAUUUGUUUGAAGCAGUUUGACAGAGGAACAGACUAUAAAUUGUGGAAACCUGCCCACCUUUGUUUAUUCUUUGGCUGUGGAGGAACCAAGGAUAAAUAACUUGUAUACAAGCUCCUGGGAAUAAAGAAAAUUCUAACUAGCCUGAGACAUGGUCCUGACUUCUGCCAACAGAAACCUCCAGCAAUUGCUGGCUUAGGUAAAAAACAAAAACAAACAAACAAAAAACAAAACAAUACAAAAACCUCCUUUAAAGAUGAGUGUCCCAAAAGGAACUGAUAGAGGAUCUAAAAAUUAUGAUAAAGUAUUUUGCCCAAAUAAUAAUAAUAAAAAACUUAAAGCAAUCAUCUUGGUGAAAGAACACAAAAAAAUAGAACUCAAGGCGACAGGAGGAUCUGAGACAUGAUCUAUAGAACACAACAAAAAACUAAAUGGCAGAGAAAAUCCAUCACAGCAAAGAAGUUGAAACUGAAAGGAAGGCAAAUACGUUCAAAAGCUGAUUUUAAAAUAAAAUAAAAUAUUUAAACAGUUUUAAAAGGAAGCACAAAUGCACAAAGUAAGAAAUGAUUGAUAAGAAGUAGCACCAAAGGCAUAGAGGAAAUUUAAAUAAAUUACCUAGCUCAGUUUUAUACAAACUUGGAAACAUAAAUGAAAUGGAAAGUAUACUAGACAAUAUACUAGAAAUAUUAAACAGACCAGUUCCUAUAAAUGAAAUAAGAAAGCUAUUAAUAUCUUCCCUCUCCCACACACCAAAGGCAUAAAAUCCAGUUUCAGAAAUUCUACUACACCUUUACAGAACAGAAUUAAACUCAUUUAAACUCUUCCAGAGCGUGGGCGGAGUGGUGACGGUGGAAGGAAAGAAAACUACCAAACUCUUGGGAUAAUCUUUAUAUGAAACUGUACAUCAAAACCUGAUAAAGAUUGCACAGAAACAUAAAACUACAGAUGAAUUCCAUGUACUAAUAUGAUGCAAAAGUCCUAAAUAAAUUAAAACUAUAAACCAUUCUGACAAAGUGGGGUUUAUUCUAGGAAUAAAAAGAUGAUCCUUAGGAAACAUACUACCAUAUUUCACUAUAUUUAAGGAGGAAAGAAGACUAUCAGGUUUCUCCAUAGGUACUGAAGAAAGGCACUUUACAUUUUAGAAUUGCUUUUUUAAAAAAGGAAAAAAGAGAAGAGUCCA